Long non-coding RNA from Gallus gallus (chicken), 1031 nucleotides. NCBI's taxonomy places the organism in Eukaryota, Metazoa, Chordata, Aves, Galliformes, Phasianidae. The record is from Ensembl.
UUCUUGGUGGAGUUCCCUGCAUACCUGAGGUCUUCUUGGGGUGCCCUUUCUGAUGACUGGAAGAAAGAAUUUUGGAAACUACCAUAGUUAUCACUUUGCUGCUUCUAUUUCCCAAAUCCUGCUGCUGAUGAGACAGACAUCUCUGCUCUAAUAUGGCCAGUGCUAACUCUGGAAAGUAUGUUUGCCGCUUACGGUACACAGUGACCACCCCAGAGCCAGCACAGAGAAUCUCUGAAAAUAUACUGCGUUGUAUCGGUGGAAGUGCAGAGCUCAGUGGUUUCCCUUUAGUUCUGAUGGUGACUGUUUUGGGGUCUCAGGAAUUUUUUGUAAUGGAAGAUGUUUGUCCUAGAGAGAAGUUCAUGCAAGUAACAUUCCUCUUAAUCUCCACAUUUCUUUGCUUUUAUUGUUGAACAAAAGUACCAGUUGCUUAGAAAAUUGUCCCAGAUUUGCUUCUCCAAACCUCUCGGGAACUGAAUUUGAGUUCAUGCCCAGAGUGGAUAAGGAUUUCCCAGAAGCAUUUUAGUGGUCAGUCCAGUUGAAAGGCAAGAAUAAGUCUCUUCACACAUAUUCUUCCUUCUUAAGAUAUACAAAAUCUGUAUCUGGCAAACGCAGCGUCAGGUGAUGCAGUUUUAUGGCUGAACAUCAAGUACUUGGUACCAAUCAGUUCAGGAGAAUUUGGCUGGUAUUACUCAAGGUAAGAAUCUGCAUAACCUGUGUUAUUGGCUGGGCAUGAUGUUCAGUUUACACCAUCCUGUUACAUUUCCCAGAAAGAAGGUGGGUGUUACAGUCUAGUUAUCUUCAUUUAUUUCAGAGUUUACCAUUUUUUUUCAGACUAAUUUGACUAAACAGAAUCUGUUUAAAAGGAAAUGAUAGUGAUAGUAGAUUUUCCCCUAUUCUUGAUGUACCAGCAGAUCUUAUUUUGUUUCUCUUUGCAGAACUUUCAACUGCAAGUUCCUCUAUUUACAGAUUUGACACCUAAUUAAUAAUCAGAUUCAGAUUACAAUAUUAGUCUACCAGAUUGCAAUUUUCCA